RNAcentral lists this ribosomal RNA (224 nucleotides) under uncultured bacterium. Its description in RNAcentral is "partial 16S ribosomal RNA". It matches the Rfam family "Bacterial small subunit ribosomal RNA", at positions 109 to 334 of the family's 1533-position model. The record is from RNAcentral.
AGUAAUACAUCGGAACGUGUCCUAUGGUGGGGGAUAACUGAUACGAAAGAUCAGCUAAUACCGCAUAAGACCUGGAGGGUGAAAGUGGGGGAUCGCAAGACCUCACGCGAUUGGAGCGGCCGAUGCCCGAUUAGCUAGUUGGUGAGGUAAAGGCUCACCAAGGCGACGAUCGGUAGCUGGUCUGAGAGGACGACCAGCCACACUGGGACUGAGACACGGCCCAG